GAGCUUGCUCCUGAUGGCGAGCGGCGGACUGGUGAGUAACACGUAGGUUAUCUGCCUCGUAGACUGGGAUAGCCACUGGAAACAGUGAUUAAUACCGGAUAUUGUCAUUCGUGAUGAAAGGCGCGUUUGCGUCACUACAAGAUGAGCCUGCGUCCUAUUAGUUUGUUGGUGGGGUAAAGGCCUACCAAGGCGUCGAUAGGUAGCCGGCCUGAGAGGGUGAACGGCCACAUUGGGACUGAGAUACGGCCCAGACUCCUACGGGAGGCAGCAGCUAAGAAUAUUCCGCAAUGGACGAAAGUCUGACGGAGCAAUCCCGCGUGAAUGAUGAAGGCCUUCGGGUUGUAAAGUUCUUUCGGCAGGGAAGAAUAAGGUAUAUAGGAAAUGAUAUAUCGAUGACGGUACCUGCAGAAGAAGCACCGACUAAUUACGUGCCAGCAGUCGCGGUAAUACGUAAGGUGCAAACGUUGCUCGGAAUCACUGGGCGUACAGGGUACGCAGGCGGCCAUUUAAGUUAGUUGUGAAAUCUUGAGGCUUAACCUCAAGCCUGCAAUUAAAACUAUAUGGCUAGAGUUGUAAUAGAGGCAGCAGGAAUUCCUAGUGUAGGAGUGAAAUCUGUAGAUAUUAGGAGGAACACCAAUGGCGAAGGCAAGCUUGCUGGGUAACGACUGACGCUAAUGUACGAAAGCCAGGGUAGCGAAUGGGAUUAGAGACCCCAGUAGUCCUGGCCGUAAACGAUGUAUACUAGUUUUAUGGUCUUUUAUUAGACUAUAUAACAAAGCCAACGCGUUAAGUAUACCGCCUGGGGAGUAUGCACGCAAGUGUGAAACUCAAAGGAAUUGACGGGGGCUCGCACAAGCGGUGGAGCAUGUGGUUCAAUUCGAUGAUAAGCGAAAAACCUUACCUGGGCUUGAACGUGUAGAGACAGCUGGUGAAAGUCGGUUUCCCUUCGGGGCUCUAUGCGAGGUGCUGCAUGGCUGUCGUCAGCUCGUGUUGUGAAAUGUUGGGUUUAGUCCCGCAACGAGCGCAACCCUUAUCCAAUGUUGCUAAGUAUCUUUCGAGAUACAGGACUCUUUGGAGACUGCCGAGGUUAACUCGGAGGAAGGCGGGGAUGACGUCAAGUCCUCAUGGCCCUUAUGUCCAGGGCUACACACGUGCUACAAUGGGGUGUACAAAGGGAUGCAAGACCGCGAGGUUUAGCAAAUCCCAAAAAACAAUUCUCAGUUCGGAUCGCAGUCUGCAACUCGACUGCGUGAAGUUGGAAUCGCUAGUAAUCACAGAUCAGCAUGCUGUGGUGAAUACGUUCUCGAGCCUUGUACACACCGCCCGUCACACCACCCGAGUUGAAUUUACCUGAAGUCGCUGUACCAACC
This 1370-nucleotide ribosomal RNA is filed under the name uncultured prokaryote. RNAcentral describes it as "partial 16S ribosomal RNA". It matches the Rfam family "Bacterial small subunit ribosomal RNA", at positions 76 to 1440 of the family's 1533-position model. The record is from RNAcentral.